This 343-nucleotide ribosomal RNA is filed under the name uncultured bacterium. Its description in RNAcentral is "bacterial SSU rRNA". It matches the Rfam family "Bacterial small subunit ribosomal RNA", at positions 27 to 352 of the family's 1533-position model. The record is from RNAcentral.
GAGUGAACGCUGGCGGCAGGCCUAACACAUGCAAGUCGAGCGGCAGCGGGGUCCCCGCGAGGGGAUGCCGGCGAGCGGCGGACGGGUGAGGAACACAUCGGAAUCUGCCUGGUUGUGGGGGAUAACGUAGGGAAACUUACGCUAAUACCGCAUGCGACCCUGAGUCGACGGACUGGGGGUGAAAGUGAGGGACCUUCGGGCCUCACGCGACCAGAUGAGCCGAUGUCGGAUUAGCUAGUUGGCGGGGUAACGGCCCGCCAAGGCGACGAUCCGUAGCUGGUCUGAGAGGAUGAUCAGCCACACUGGGACUGGAGACACGGCCCAGACUCCUACGGGAGGCAGC